Molecule: ribosomal RNA, 1506 nt
Filed under: uncultured Bacteroidales bacterium
Lineage: Bacteria; Pseudomonadati; Bacteroidota; Bacteroidia; Bacteroidales
Description: bacterial SSU rRNA
Rfam family: Bacterial small subunit ribosomal RNA
Source: RNAcentral
AGAGUUUGAUCCUGGCUCAGGAUGAACGCUAGCGGCAGGCUUAACACAUGCAAGUCGAGGGGCAGCGCGGGAUAGCAAUAUCCUGGCGGCGACCGGCGGAAGGGUGCGUAACGCGUGAGCGACAUGCCCGUUGCCCGGGGACAACCGGUGGAAACGCCGACUAAUCCCCGAUGGGAUACGAUGCCUCAUGGCAUUGUAUUGAAAGUUACGGCGGCGACGGAUUGGCUCGCGUCCGAUUAGCUUGUUGGCGGGGUAACGGCCCACCAAGGCUGCGAUCGGUAGGGGUUCUGAGAGGAAGGCCCCCCACAAUGGGACUGAGACACGGCCCAUACUCCUACGGGAGGCAGCAGUGAGGAAUAUUGGUCAAUGGGCGGAAGCCUGAACCAGCCAUGCCGCGUGCGGGAAGGAGGCCCUAUGGGCUGUGAACCGCUUUUGCCUGGGGGCAAUAAGGGCGUCGCGCACGUCCGAUGAGAGUACCAGGCGAAUAAGCAUCGGCUAACUCCGUGCCAGCAGCCGCGGUAAUACGGGGGAUGCGAGCGUUAUCCGGAUUCAUUGGGUUUAAAGGGUGCGUAGGCUGUGCGUCAAGUCGGGGGUGAAAUUCCGGUGCUCAACACCGGGGCUGCCCUUGAUACUGUCGCGCUGGAGUGCGGAUGCCGCCGGAGGAAUGAGUGGUGUAGCGGUGAAAUGCUUAGAUAUCACUCAGAACACCGAUUGCGAAGGCAUCUGGCGAAUCCGUAACUGACGCUGAGGCACGAAAGCGUGGGGAUAGAACAGGAUUAGAUACCCUGGUAUUCCACGCCGUAAACGAUGAUGGCUAACCGCCGGCGACACACUGUCGGUGGCCAAGCGAAAGCGAUAAGCCAUCCACCUGGGGAGUACGUCGGCAACGAUGAAACUCAAAGGAAUUGACGGGGGCCCGCACAAGCGGAGGAACAUGUGGUUUAAUUCGAUGAUACGCGAGGAACCUUACCCGGGCUCAAACGCAGGGGGAAUGUCGGUGAAAGCCGGCAGCUAGUAAUAGUCACCUGCGAGGUGCUGCAUGGUUGUCGUCAGCUCGUGCCGUGAGGUGUCGGCUUAAGUGCCAUAACGAGCGCAACCCCUAUCGACAGUUACUAACGGGUGAAGCCGAGGACUCUGUCGAGACUGCCGGCGCAAGCCGCGAGGAAGGUGGGGAUGACGUCAAAUCAGCACGGCCCUUACGUCCGGGGCGACACACGUGUUACAAUGGCAGGUACAGAAGGCAGCCAGUCAGCAAUGACGCGCGAAUCCCGAAAACCUGUCUCAGUUCGGAUUGGAGUCUGCAACCCGACUCCAUGAAGCUGGAUUCGCUAGUAAUCGCGCAUCAGCCAUGGCGCGGUGAAUACGUUCCCGGGCCUUGUACACACCGCCCGUCAAGCCAUGGAAGCCGGGAGUACCUGAAGAUCGUGACCGCGAGGAACGGGCUAGGGUAAUACCGGUAACUGGGGCUAAGUCGUAACAAGGUAGCCGUACCGGAAGGUGCGGCUG